GACGGAGGGUGCAAACGUUGUUCGGAAUUACUGGGCGUAAAGCGCGUGUAGGCGGCCCGGAAAGUCGGAUGUGAAAGCCCUGGGCUUAACCUAGGAAGUGCAUUCGAAACUGCUGGGCUUGAGUUCUGGAGAGGAAGGCGGAAUUCUCGGUGUAGAGGUGAAAUUCGUAGAUAUCGAGAGGAACACCGGUGGCGAAGGCGGCCUUCUGGACAGUGACUGACGCUGAGACGCGAAAGCGUGGGGAGCAAACAGG
RNAcentral lists this ribosomal RNA (253 nucleotides) under uncultured bacterium. RNAcentral's name for it is "partial 16S ribosomal RNA". It matches the Rfam family "Bacterial small subunit ribosomal RNA", at positions 524 to 776 of the family's 1533-position model. The record is from RNAcentral.